GAUGAACGCUGGCGGCGUGCCUAAUACAUGCAAGUCGAGCGAACGGACGAGAAGCUUGCUUCUCUGAUGUUAGCGGCGGACGGGUGAGUAACACGUGGAUAACCUACCUAUAAGACUGGGAUAACUUCGGGAAACCGGAGCUAAUACCGGAUAAUAUUUUGAACCGCAUGGUUCAAUAGUGAAAGACGGUCUUGCUGUCACUUAUAGAUGGAUCCGCGCUGCAUUAGCUAGUUGGUAAGGUAACGGCUUACCAAGGCAACGAUGCAUAGCCGACCUGAGAGGGUGAUCGGCCAAACUGAAACUGAGAAACGGUCCGAAUUCCAACGGAAGGAAGCGGUGGGAAAUCUUCCGCAAUGGGCGAAGGCCUGACGGGGCAACGCGGCGGGGGUGAUGAAGGUCUUCGAAUGGUAAAACUCUGUUAUUAGGAAAGAAAAUAUGUGUAAGUAACUGUGCACAUCUGGACGGUACCUAAUAAGAAAGCAACGGCUAACUACGU
This 496-nucleotide ribosomal RNA is filed under the name uncultured bacterium. RNAcentral's name for it is "partial 16S ribosomal RNA". It matches the Rfam family "Bacterial small subunit ribosomal RNA", at positions 28 to 506 of the family's 1533-position model. The record is from RNAcentral.